Molecule: non-coding RNA, 105 nt
Organism: Pan troglodytes (chimpanzee)
Lineage: Eukaryota; Metazoa; Chordata; Mammalia; Primates; Hominidae
Rfam family: Mitochondrial DNA control region secondary structure A
Source: Rfam
UAUUCUCAUGAGGGAGCCAUUUUGGGUACAACCCAAGUAUCGACCCACCCCACCAUAAUUUUAUAUAUAUCAUGCAUUUCUGCUAGCCACCAUGAAUAUUAUAUA